UACGAAGGGGGCUAGCGUUGCUCGGAAUCACUGGGCGUAAAGCGCACGUAGGCGGAUUGUUAAGUCAGGGGUGAAAUCCUGGAGCUCAACUCCAGAACUGCCUUUGAUACUGGCGAUCUCGAGGCCGGGAGAGGUGAGUGGAACUGCGAGUGUAGAGGUGAAAUUCGUAGAUAUUCGCAAGAACACCAGUGGCGAAGGCGGCUCACUGGCCCGGUACUGACGCUGAGGUGCGAAAGCGUGGGGAGCAAACAGG
Molecule: ribosomal RNA, 253 nt
Filed under: uncultured bacterium
Lineage: Bacteria
Description: partial 16S ribosomal RNA
Rfam family: Bacterial small subunit ribosomal RNA
Source: RNAcentral